Molecule: ribosomal RNA, 512 nt
Filed under: uncultured bacterium
Lineage: Bacteria
Description: partial 16S ribosomal RNA
Rfam family: Bacterial small subunit ribosomal RNA
Source: RNAcentral
GACGAACGCUGGCGGCGUGCCUAAUACAUGCAAGUCGAGCGAGCGGAACUAACAGAUUUACUUCGGUAAUGACGUUAGGAAAGCGAGCGGCGGAUGGGUGAGUAACACGUGGGGAACCUGCCCCAUAGUCUGGGAUACCACUUGGAAACAGGUGCUAAUACCGGAUAAGAAAGCAGAUCGCAUGAUCAGCUUUUAAAAGGCGGCGUAAGCUGUCGCUAUGGGAUGGCCCCGCGGUGCAUUAGCUAGUUGGUAAGGUAAAGGCUUACCAAGGCGAUGAUGCAUAGCCGAGUUGAGAGACUGAUCGGCCACAUUGGGACUGAGACACGGCCCAAACUCCUACGGGAGGCAGCAGUAGGGAAUCUUCCACAAUGGACGCAAGUCUGAUGGAGCAACGCCGCGUGAGUGAAGAAGGUUUUCGGAUCGUAAAGCUCUGUUGUUGGUGAAGAAGGAUAGAGGUAGUAACUGGCCGUUAUUUGACGGUAAUCAACCAGAAAGUCACGGCUAACUACGUG